CACAGACAAGGCCCGAGGUGGAUCCAGUUCAAGCACAAGAGUGCAAAUGGCCUACUUAGAGUUUAAAGUGAGUAAUUAGAAACCUAAGCGGGGCUCAUUUCUUCCCUACUGAUGAACGUAAUGAAAUGCCGCGUGCUCCCGUGGUGAGUGGCACUGGGACAGGGCCUAGACUGAUGGACACCAGAACAGCUGUGACCACAAAUCACAGAAGACCCAGACGAACUAGCCUAAGCUAAAUGGGGUUCCUUGGGCCCCCAGACGUGUCCCAGGAGCCACUGUGUGUCUUAACCGAUCACGGUCAACUGCUGCCUGAACCAGGAGAAAGGGAAGGUCAGGAUUACAUCAGGACUGUUUGCUCUUUGAGGCGCUCCGUAACCUUCAACCUGCCCUCCAAACUGACACACUGACUGCCACUAUUGAUGCACAAAAGAAUAAAGACAACAUGUCUAAUCUAUCUUUA
Long non-coding RNA from Poecilia reticulata (guppy), 460 nucleotides. RefSeq lists it as uncharacterized. NCBI's taxonomy places the organism in Eukaryota, Metazoa, Chordata, Actinopteri, Cyprinodontiformes, Poeciliidae. The record is from RefSeq and is a predicted model, not a curated record.